This 322-nucleotide ribosomal RNA is filed under the name uncultured eukaryote. RNAcentral describes it as "partial 18S ribosomal RNA". It matches the Rfam family "Eukaryotic small subunit ribosomal RNA", at positions 1470 to 1796 of the family's 1831-position model. The record is from RNAcentral.
CCCUUAGAUGUUCUGGGCCGCACGCGUGCUACACUGAGUGGAUCAGCGGGUCAGGUUGCGCGAAAGCGUUUCCUAAUCUUUAAAUCCGCUCGUGAUGGGGAUUGACGGUUGCAAUUUUCUGUCAUGAACGAGGAAUACCUUGUAAGCGCGGGUCAUCAUCCCGCGCUGAAUACGUCCCUGCCCUUUGUACACACCGCCCGUCGCACCUACCGAUUGGAUGGUCCGGUGAAGCCUCGGGAUUGUGGUUCUUGCCGCUUUAUUGUAGCGUGACCGCGAGAACUUGUCUAAACCUUAUCAUCUAGAGGAAGGUGAAGUCGUAACA